GGCUCCCCUAGAGAAAGUGGGCCGAAAGGGAAAAGGGUUAAUAUUCCCUUACCGGGACACGGAGACUUUCGGCCCGAGGGUCGAUGGUGCGGUGACGCAAACGAACUCGGCGACGCCGUCGGAGGACCCGGAGAAGAGUUGCCUUUUCUUUGUAAGACGCGCGCGUCCCUCGAAUCUCGUCGCGAGGAGACAGGGACGCCGCCUGUCGAAAAAGCACGGUCGCUGCCGCCGUGUCCGGUGCGCCUCCGCCGGCCCUUGAAAAACCGAGGGAGAGCUUGUGAUUUUCGUGCCCGGCCGUACCCAUAUCCGCAGCAGGUCUCCAAGGUGAACAGCCUCUAGUCUCUAGAACAAUGUAGGUAAGGGAAGUCGGCAAGUUCGAUCCCUAACCUCGGGAAAAGGAUUGGCUCUUGUGUCUCGGUCUUUCUGGACUCGCACUUUCCGAAGCUCCUAUCGUGGCGGGGACUGGUCCCAGUUUGGGGAUCGGACCCCGUACUCGAGGUGGGGUGUAGGGUGCGAGGUGCCCCGGUCCUCCGUAAGGACUGGGGCAGUGCCGGAGGACAGGAAAGAGACGGACAAGAACUGGCACGGACUCGGGGAAUCCGACUGUCUAAUUAAAACAAAGCAUUGAGACGGCCGGCGAUCGGUGUUGACUCAAUGUGAUUUCUGCCCAGUGCUCUGAAUGUCAAAGUGAAGAAAUUCAACGAAGCGCGGGUAAACGGCGGGAGUAACUAUGACUCUCUUAAGGUAGCCAAACGCCUCGUCAUCUAAUUAGUGACGCGCAUGAAUGGAUUAACGAGAUUCCCACUGUCCCUAUCUACUAUCUAGCGAAACCGCAGCCAAGGGAACGGACUUGGCAAAUUCACUGGGGAAAGAAGACCCUUUCGAGCUUGACUCUAGUCUGACUUUGUUCUAAGGCAUUAUUGGCGUAGUCUAGGUGGGAGUCCUUCAAUGGGCGAAAUUGUGAAAUACCACUACUUUGAUCGCCUUGGGACUUAUUCGGUGAUGUUCCUAAUCGUCCCUCAUCGAGGGACGAACGUAUGUGCUUUAAGUCCUCGCCGUUCGAGUGUUGGACGAGGAACUCCGAAGACAGCGUCAGGCAGGCAGUUUGUCUGGGGCGGAACAUCUGUCAAAUGGCAACGCAGGUGUCCCAAGGCCGGCUCAGUCGGGACGGAAACCCGGCGUGGAGCAAAGGGGCAAAAGCCGGCUCGAUCCCGUUCUUCAGCAGGGAAGGGGACCUGGAAACAGGGGCCCAUCGAUCCUUUCUUUUGUGUGCCCUCCGGGGUACGAUGUGAGAGUCUCACGGGAGAGGUGUCGGAAAAGUUACCGGAGGGAUAACUGGCUCGUGGCGGCUGAGAGUUCAUAUCGACGUCGCUUAUUGAUUCUUCGAUGUCGGCUCUUCCUAUCAUUGCGAAGCAGAAUUCGCAAAGCGUUGGAUUGUUCACCCACUAACAGGGAACGUGAGCUGGGUUUAGACCGUCGUGAGACAGGUUAGUUUUACCCUGGUGAAGACGGGUCGUGGCUACGGGAAAACUUGCCCAGUACGAGAGGAACCGUAGGUUGGGACAUUUGGUACUGCGCUCGGUGGGGCCGCCGGUGGCGCGAAGCUACCAUCCCGUGGGAGAACGGCUGAACGCCUCUAAGUCGGAAACCCUCCCGGCGAGUGUCGGGAUACUUCCGGCCCCGCGCGUCGAACGGCCUUUCCUAGGGGCCGCACGUUGGUCCUCUCCUCGUCGCGGGGAGGGGUGCGAGCGUCGGUUCCGAAGAAGCCCCUUCGUACGCCUGGACAGAUGACGGACCCCCCUCCCAGACUGCCGGGGGUCCUGUCCCUACGAGCCUGCCUCCGGGCGGGUGCGAUGUGUGUGGGUCGAGAGUCGUCUGCAGACGACUUUCGUUCUGGACGGGGUGUUGU
The sequence is a ribosomal RNA, 1909 nucleotides long. The stretch from base 1 to 1688 matches the Rfam family "Eukaryotic large subunit ribosomal RNA", at positions 1568 to 3401 of the family's 3401-position model.